This 73-nucleotide transfer RNA is filed under the name Felis catus (domestic cat). It matches the Rfam family "tRNA". Rfam says of the family: Transfer RNA (tRNA) molecules are approximately 80 nucleotides in length. Their secondary structure includes four short double-helical elements and three loops (D, anti-codon, and T loops). The record is from Rfam by way of RNAcentral. Lineage: Eukaryota; Metazoa; Chordata; Mammalia; Carnivora; Felidae.
ACCUGGCUAGCUUAGUAGGUAGAGUAUGUGACUCUUAAUCUUGGGGUCGUGAAUUCAAGCGCCACGUUGGGUG